CAAACCAGUCCCUGAGAUCUUGUCGUCAGGAACAUAGAGGUAUAUAUUAACAUAGAGGGAGCCUACCUUCCGCGCUUCCUGACGACAAGAUCUCAUGGACUGGUUUGCUGCAUCUCUUUCUAACACAUUGUAUCGACAAUCUAUGAUGACAUUCAGUGUGAAUAUAGGCACGGAAGAGGAGGACAACUGUAGCAGCUUUACUAUGCGUAAGAGUGAAACAGCACUAAUCCAAAUAAAAAAGAUGGUGUCGUCACUUCGCUCUGAAUGACACUCUCUCUAUGCUAAUAUAUAACUCUAUGGUCAGGAAGCGCGGAAGGUAGGCUCCCUCUAUGUUAAUAUAUACCUCUAUGGGUGAGACGGGGCCUUGGCGGUUCAAGGGAUCGUACAAAUGUGUCGUCUUGGAACGAACCUAAUGUAUAUUCCCUAUGUACAGCAGAACGAUUUACGUACUGUAUUAUGAAUCAGUAGAAACGGAAACGAUUAUAAAUAUUUAAAUUUGGUAAAUUAUAACUCCACUCGACCAGCCCACGACCACACAACUCGAAAUACACGUACGCAAAUACGGUUGCGUGGCUCGAAGCCGUGGAAUUUACGAGACUCGCUCGGUCUGUAGAUCCUUGUGUCAAAUUGUGUAAAAAAAAUCAAAAGUCAAAGCAAAAGGCAAGGAAGGAAAAAGCGAAAAGCAAAGUGUUAAAUUAAAAUAUUAGGGCGCUGGCGGUAUGAUGUGGUGUGGAAUGUGGGCUAUAUAAAUUAAACUAAGUGAUUAUUAGUAUAGCUAAAAGAAGCUUUUGAUUUUACUUUUUGGAUGUAUAUGUAAAUUCAAAUAUGGAUAUAAAUCAAGAAACCAGUGAGAAAACUUGUAAAAUAGAACUAGAAGAGACGUGUGGUGGUCCCUUGGAUGGCUUCAAAGUUGAAAUUAAAGAAGAACCAAAGACAGAACCCGCAUACGACACAUUUGAAUAUUUAGACUUAAAGAAAUUCCCCCUAAAAACUGAAGUAGAACAAGAUGAAUAUAAAUUUACACCAUUUGAAGAAAAGCAAACAACCAAUGAAGAAAGUUGUUCCCAAGAGGAGAAUAAACUGAAAAUUAUGGAAACCUUACAUUCGCCUCAUAAAGAAGGCUGCCAGGUUGAAGGAAAUGUAUUAAACAAAAAUUUGAAAAUUGCGAUUGGAGACAGACCUUACAAAUGUGAAUUCUGUUUCAAGCAAUUUACUAAAGUGUCUCUUUUAAAAGUGCAUUUGCGAAUACACAGUGGAGAAAAACCUUAUAAGUGUGAAAUGUGUUUAAAGCGAUUUGUUAGAAAAGGUGAUUUGAAGAAACACGUGAGAGUUCACACUGGAGAAAAACCUCAUAAGUGUGAAAUUUGUUUGAAGCAGUUUAAUGAAGCACAUGGUUUGAAACUUCAUUUGAGAGUGCACACUGGAGAGAUGCCUUAUAAGUGUGAAAUUUGUUUUAAGCAGUUUAGUCAACAGGUUCAUUUGAAAACGCAUUUGAUGUUUCACACUGGAGAAAAACCAUAUACGUGCGAUAUUUGUUUUAAACAGUUCUCUCGGAAAGAUCAUUUGAAAACACAUUUGAGAGUGCACACUGGGGAAACACCUUAUAAGUGUGAAAUUUGCUUAAAGCAGUUUUCUAACAAAAGUCAUUUGAAAACACAUUUGAGAUUGCACACUGGGGAGAAAUCUUUCAAGUGUGAUAUUUGUUUCAAGCAAUUCAGUAGAGCAGAUAACUUGACAGUACAUUUGAGAGCGCAUACUGGUGAAAAGCGUUUCACAUGUGAAAGUUGUUUUAAGUCGUUUAGUGCAGCACAUCAUUUGAAAGAUCAUAUAAGAACCCACACUGGAGAAAAACUUUACAAGUGUGAAAUUUGUUUAAAGUUAUUUACUAGGGCAAGUUAUUUUAAAGCACAUUUGCGAACACACAGUGGAGAUAAUCCCGAGUGUGAAAUUUGUUUAAAACAAUUUACUACAAAAAGUGAUUUGAAAACACACUUGAGAUUGCACACUGGAGAAAAACCGUACCAGUGUGAAACUUGUCUUAAGCAGUUUAACCAAGCAAGUCAUUUAAAAACCCAUUUGAGACUGCACACUGGAGAAAAGCCUUACAAGUGUGAAAUUUGUUUUAAGCAGUUUUCUCGAGUAGAUAAUAUGAAACAACAUAUGGGGAUACACCGACAAAAAACCGAACAAGUGUGACCCCCUCCCCUCACACUGUUCUGUGGCACUUUUAGGCCAGUAAAAGACCGUUUUUAGUGUAAUUUUCAGGGGCAACUCCGAAUUGCAUGAACAUUUUACUACAAGUUUUACUAUAAACGUAUACAGUAAUCCCUCUUCAACCGAGGGGGUUACGUUCCGAAAAGAAAGGCGGUUGGUGAAACCGUGGUUGGCGAGGGAUCCACGAUCCAAAGAAGAAUAUGACAUAAGGUUGUUCCCAGGAGGACAACAAAAUGAAAAUUAUGGAAACCUUACAUUCGCCUCAUAAAGGACGCCACCAGGUUGAAGGAAAAAUAUUAAACAAAAAUUUGAAAAUUAGGACUGGAGACAGACUUUACAAAUGUGAAAUUUGUU
Molecule: unclassified non-coding RNA, 2568 nt
Filed under: Diabrotica virgifera virgifera (western corn rootworm)
Lineage: Eukaryota; Metazoa; Arthropoda; Insecta; Coleoptera; Chrysomelidae
Description: zinc finger protein 226-like
Source: RNAcentral